This 468-nucleotide ribosomal RNA is filed under the name uncultured bacterium. RNAcentral's name for it is "partial 16S ribosomal RNA". It matches the Rfam family "Bacterial small subunit ribosomal RNA", at positions 28 to 523 of the family's 1533-position model. The record is from RNAcentral.
GAUGAACGCUGGCGGCGUGCCUAACACAUGCAAGUCGAGCGAUUUACUUCGGUAAAGAGCGGCGGACGGGUGAGUAACGCGUGGGUAACCUGCCCUGUACACACGGAUAACAUACCGAAAGGUAUGCUAAUACGAGAUAAUAUGCUUUUAUCGCAUGGUAGAAGUAUCAAAGUUUUUGCGGUACAGGAUGGACCCGCGUCUGAUUAGCUAGUUGGUAAGGUAACGGCUUACCAAGGCGACGAUCAGUAGCCGACCUGAGAGGGUGAUCGGCCACAUUGGAACUGAGCCACGGUCCAAACUCCUACGGGAGGCAGCAGUGGGGAAUAUUGCACAAUGGGCGAAAGCCUGAUGCAGCAACGCCGCGUGAGCGAUGAAGGCCUUCGGGUCGUAAAGCUCUGUCCUCGAGGAAGAUAAUGACGGUACUUGAGGAGGAAGCCCCGGCUAACUACGUGCCAGCCGCCGCCGUAA